This 249-nucleotide long non-coding RNA is filed under the name Capsicum annuum. Its description in RNAcentral is "long non-coding RNA (CANN_LNC017501)". Lineage: Eukaryota; Viridiplantae; Streptophyta; Magnoliopsida; Solanales; Solanaceae. The record is from RNAcentral.
UAUUCAAUGAGAAAAGAGUCAUACACCUUCUGAAUUGCACUUUCAAUAAACUCUAUUUCUGGUAGUUUUCUUUGUUGAUUCAAUGGUGAAGCAGCCAAUUACAACAAAGAUUUUUCUUCUAUGGUGAAGCGAAGAGAAAAUUUAUAUAUAUGACCAUAAAAAAGUUUUGAAAAUAUGGGUAUAUAUACAUAAGGUUAUUCUACAUAUAGUUAUACCAACUCAUGUAACAUAAAUAACCAUCUGUAUUUG